GAUCAAGUGUCUUAAGGGCAAUUGGUGGAUGCCUUGGCAUGCACAGGCGAUGAAGGACGUGAUACGCUGCGAUAAGCUACGGGGAGGUGCGAAUACCCUUUGAUCCGUAGAUUUCCGAAUGGGGAAACCCACCUUAAAUGCUUGUAAAAUCAGAGUUGUCGGCCGACUUCGGUUGGGCGGCGGCUGUGGUUUACAAGCAUUGAAAUAAGGUAACUUACCCUGAAUAAAAUAGGGGUAAAGUGGCGAACGCGGGGAACUGAAACAUCUAAGUACCCGUAGGAAAGGACAUCAACCGAGACUCCGGCAGUAGUGGCGAGCGAACCCGGACCAGGCCAGCGGCGAUGGUGAGACAAGCGGAACAUUCUGGAAAGUUUGGCCGUAGCGGGUGACAGCCCCGUACGCGUAAUGCGAACCAUCGUCCUAGAGUAAGGCGGGACACGUGAAAUCCUGUCUGAACAUGGGUAGACCACUAUCCAAGCCUAAGUACUCGUGCAUGACCGAUAGCGAACUAGUACCGUGAGGGAAAGGUGAAAAGCACCCCGACAAGGGGAGUGAAAGAGUACCUGAAACCGAUUGCCUACAAACAGUGGGAGCCUGCAAUGGUGACCACGUACCUUUUGUAUAAUGGGUCAGCGACUUAGUGUGACGAGCAAGCUUAAACCGGUAGGUGUAGGCGCAGCGAAAGCGAGUCUGAACAGGGCGGUUCAGUUCGUCGCAUUAGACCCGAAACCGAGUGAUCUAGCCAUGAGCAGGUUGAAGGUAAGGUAACACUUACUGGAGGACCGAACCCAUAACUGUUGCAAUAGUUCGGGAUGACUUGUGGCUAGGGGUGAAAGGCCAAUCAAACUCGGAAAUAGCUGGUUCUCCGCGAAAUCUAUUUAGGUAGAGCGUCGACCGAAUACCCCAGGGGGUAGAGCACUGGAUGGGCUAGGGGUCCUCACCGGAUUACCAAACCUAACCAAACUCCGAAUACCUGGGAGUACUAGUCGGCAGACACACAGUGGGUGCUAACGUCCAUUGUGAAGAGGGAAACAACCCUGACCUACAGCUAAGGUCCCCAAGUCAUGGCUAAGUGGGAAAGGAUGUGAGGAUCCCAAAACAACCAGGAUGUUGGCUUAGAAGCAGCCAUCAUUUAAAGAAAGCGUAACAGCUCACUGGUCUAAAUAAGGGUCUUUGCGCCGAAAAUGUAACGGGGCUAAAGCCAUGCACCGAAGCUUAGGGUUUGGUCCGCAAGGGCCAAGCGGUAGCGGAGCGUUCCGUAAGCUGAUGAAGCCAUACCUGCGAGGGAUGGUGGAGGUAUCGGAAGUGCGAAUGCUGACAUGAGUAACGUAAGGGGGGUGAGAGACUCCCCCGCCGAAAGUCCAAGGGUUCCUGCUUAAAGCUAAUCUGAGCAGGGUUAGCCGGCCCCUAAGUCGAGGCGGAAACGCGUAGACGAUGGGAACCACGUUAAUAUUCGUGGGCCUGGAGGUAGUGACGGAUUGCGUGUGUUGUCAGGUCUUAUUGGAUUGAUCUGGCCGCGAAGCAGUUCCAGGAAAUAGCUCCUCCUUAUAGACCGUACCCGAAACCGACACAGGUGGACUGGUAGAGUAUACCAAGGCGCUUGAGAGAACUAUGCUGAAGGAACUCGGCAAAUUGCACGCGUAACUUCGGAAGAAGCGUGACCCCUUUGCACGCAAGUGUAUGGGGGUGGCACAGACCAGGGGGUAGCGACUGUUUAUCAAAAACACAGGGCUCUGCGAAGUCGCAAGACGACGUAUAGGGUCUGACGCCUGCCCGGUGCUGGAAGGUUAAAGGGAGGG
Molecule: ribosomal RNA, 1799 nt
Filed under: Pyrinomonadaceae bacterium
Lineage: Bacteria; Pseudomonadati; Acidobacteriota; Blastocatellia; Blastocatellales; Pyrinomonadaceae
Description: partial 23S ribosomal RNA
Rfam family: Bacterial large subunit ribosomal RNA
Source: RNAcentral